RNAcentral lists this transfer RNA (74 nucleotides) under Lentisphaerota bacterium. Its description in RNAcentral is "Lentisphaerae bacterium tRNA-Gly". It matches the Rfam family "tRNA". From Rfam's summary of the family: Transfer RNA (tRNA) molecules are approximately 80 nucleotides in length. Their secondary structure includes four short double-helical elements and three loops (D, anti-codon, and T loops). Further hydrogen bonds mediate the characteristic L-shaped molecular structure. tRNAs have two regions of fundamental functional importance: the anti-codon, which is responsible for specific mRNA codon recognition, and the 3' end, to which the tRNAs corresponding amino acid is attached (by aminoacyl-tRNA synthetases). tRNAs cope with the degeneracy of the genetic code in two manners: having more than one tRNA (with a specific anti-codon) for a particular amino acid; and 'wobble' base-pairing, i.e. permitting non-standard base-pairing at the 3rd anti-codon position. Lineage: Bacteria; Pseudomonadati; Lentisphaerota. The record is from RNAcentral. RNAcentral also lists the same sequence under 2 other names.
GCGGGUGUAGCAAAAUGGUUAUGCUCCAGCUUCCCAAGCUGGCCACGAGGGUUCGAUUCCCUUCACCCGCUCCA